AGAGUUUGAUCCUGGCUCAGAUUGAACGCUGGCGGCAUGCCUUACACAUGCAAGUCGAACGGUAACGGGCCUUCGGGUGCCGACGAGUGGCGAACGGGUGAGUAAUGCAUCGGAACGUACCUUUCAGUGGGGAUAACGUAGCGAAAGUUACGCUAAUACCGCAUAUUCUGUGAGCAGGAAAGCAGGGGAUCGCAAGACCUUGCGCUGAUUGAGCGGCCGAUGUCAGAUUAGCUAGUUGGUGAGGUAAAGGCUCACCAAGGCGACGAUCUGUAGCGGGGUCUGAGAGGAUGAUCCGCCACACUGGAACUGAGACACGGUCCAGACUCCUACGGGAGGCAGCAGUGGGGAAUUUUGGACAAUGGGGGCAACCCUGAUCCAGCCAUGCCGCGUGAGUGAAGAAGGCCUUCGGGUUGUAAGGCUCUUUCGGCCGGGAAGAAAUCGCAUGGGUUAAUACCCUGUGCGGAUGACGGUACCGGCAUAAGAAGCACCGGCUAACUACGUG
RNAcentral lists this ribosomal RNA (502 nucleotides) under uncultured bacterium. Its description in RNAcentral is "bacterial SSU rRNA". It matches the Rfam family "Bacterial small subunit ribosomal RNA", at positions 8 to 507 of the family's 1533-position model. The record is from RNAcentral.